GUAUCUUAAGAAACAUCCAAUAAAAAUGGAAUGAUAUAGAGAAAAUUAUCAUGGUUAUUGUACAAGGAUGAAGUGUAAAUUGAGAGAUGGUCCAAACUUUU
This is a non-coding RNA of Picea glauca (white spruce), 101 nucleotides long. The record is from Rfam. NCBI's taxonomy places the organism in Eukaryota, Viridiplantae, Streptophyta, Pinopsida, Pinales, Pinaceae.